RNAcentral lists this long non-coding RNA (2211 nucleotides) under Homo sapiens (human). Its description in RNAcentral is "non-protein coding lnc-ZSCAN2-5:11". The stretch from base 1321 to 1468 matches the Rfam family "Metazoan signal recognition particle RNA". Lineage: Eukaryota; Metazoa; Chordata; Mammalia; Primates; Hominidae. The record is from RNAcentral.
AAAAGCCAUGGCUGCUUGUUAUCCGGUCAAUGGAACGGGUUAUGUACGUCAUGUUGAUAAUCCAAAUGGAGACGGAAGACGUGUGAAAUGUAUUACAUUACGUUAAAGAACGGGAUGCCAAGCCCUGCCUGAUGUGGCUCUGGGAAUUCCUGCAGAGAAGAGCAGGGGUGGCCAGGAGAUAGUGAGCAGCUCCCAGGAGGCAUGGAGGGAUCCAGAACCUGGACUGAAGAACCACCUAGAAAUAACUCAGCAGAAUUCUGAAAAUGAGGUCACGCUGGAUUUUCCAAUCCAUAGGCCCAAAGUGAACUCCCACGUGGAGUAGGAUGAAAACCCACAGCAUCUAGAUCUUCAAAUUCUGGAGAAAAAGAGAGUGUGAAAGACUGCUCAGUGGCUGGGGUGAGAGUCAAGUCUGGCCAGGUGCUAAUCUGGAGAAAAGCCAAGACCUGGAGCGAGCUGGAGUGGCAGGCCCUGGAGGAUGAGAAGGUGGCAGGAGUGCACUGGGGAUACAAAGAAACCAAGAUUUUUCUGGGAAUUCUCAGAGGCCUGGAUCCACGAAAAACUCCGCACCUGCCAUCGAAACCACCAGGUGUACCGGAUUAUGGCUGAGCAGCUGUGAGAACAUGGCUUCCUGUGGACCCUGGAGCAAUGUUGCUAUCGGUUCAAAAACCUCCUGACCGACUACUGCAAAGCCAGGAGCACCUACACACCAGGCACCAGUGUCUUCUAUGAUGAGAUGGAUGCCCUGUUGAGUCUUGGGGCACUUUCUAACACCUUUGAUGCCUUAGAGGUGGUAGGAGGCCUUCUUUGGGAUUGAGAGGAUUCCAAAGGGAACCAGGGCAUAGCACUAGAAGAUGUGGCGGGAUGGUAAUGAAAUAGUGGAGGAGUCUCAAGAGGAAUCCUGGAGGCUUGGUCCCCAGGCCUUGAGGUGGAAUCCCAGUGGCAACUCUCCCCCACAAUGGACCUCAGAGCAGUGGGAGCGACGCAGUCCUGUGGGAAGCAUUCAGGCUCAGAAUCAGGAGAUGUGAUUAUUGUCCUGGCUCUGUUAUGACUAAUUUGGGUCUGGAAUGGCCUCAUCGGGGGAAAAAUUGGUGACAACUUUAAGAAAUACUGUUUAUAUCCCGUCCUCAAAUAUUGCUUGACUCAACCCUCUACUGAACCAGUAGUCCAGGGUGGCUCACAAAGACCACUUUGAGGCUCUUGCUCUGCUCUUUAGCCAAGGAGUCUCCCUUCCUGCCUUCAGUAACAACAUUACAGGAAGAGAGGAGAGAAAGGUAGGAGUUAAAGAUCCAGUCAUUUGUUUCCAUCUAAAGUGCCCUAUAAGCCGGGCAUGGUGGCGCAAGCCUGUAGUCCCAGCUACUCGGGAGGCUGGGGCAGGAGAAUCACUUGAGCCCAGGAGUUGGAGGCCGCAGUGAGCUGUGAUCAUGCCACUGCAUUCCAGCCUGGGCGACAGAGUGAGACCCAGACUCAGCUGAAAAAUAAUAAUAUUAUUAAAAGAAUUUAAAAUAAAGUGUUCCAUAGAUGUGAACCCUGCGUAGAUUAUACACACCAGUCUGCCAUUUAAAAGGUUUGUUGUUCUUGGGCAACCUCUUUAAAUACCCUUAGCCUCCAUUUUCUCAUCUGGACAGUGGACAUUGUGAUGGUUUCUACCUCCCUGGGCUGUUAUGAGGAUCCUGACACAGUAUUAGCACUUGGCAAACGUUAGUUUUCAUUAUCAUCAUCAUUAUAAUUAUUAUGAAAAUAGAUAAGGGCAUUAUCCUGUACCCUCAAAGGAGUAAAAGGGGGAAAAUGAGUCAUUAAACUUUCUCUUCUGGGAACUAGACCUUCUUGAGAGGCACUAUCAUUCUCAUUUCACCUGUCACUUCCAGACAUGGGAGCAGAAAGUGAAUUUCAGAACUCCAUGUCCCCUCCUGCUUUUCUCUGAGCAGGACUUCCAGUUCCCCAGCCAGAUGGGGUCACAAUGCUGCAGAAAAGUGAAGAGCUUUGGAAUGAAGAUCUCCCGGACUUCAAGGAGAUUCAGAAAACGUCCAGUGCAGGUGGGAAAUGAAUGGGAGCUAGCAUUCCACCAACAAAGUCAGCCCUGGGAUUCUAAACUCGGACAAGCCAGCACUGGUUAAGGGCUGAGGGGAACCAGGCACUCAGUGCACCCAGUUUACUAUUCUGUGGUGUGGAAAGCACAGGACUUGAGAAGCAGGUGGCACCCAGGAAAGCCUG